CAGAGUCACAGAGCUGACAGACAAUGGGAGCCCCUGGAGCACGUGUGUGAACUAGGUGCCACGUGGAGACUUUUUCAGGCACUGUCUCAUUUAGUCCUUGGUUACUUCUCUCAGCCUCCUCCUCCUUUCCCACUUGGAAUUCAGAUGAGCUCAGAAACCAUCUACAGGGCUGUGAUGAGGCUUAAAGGAGUUGCCAGGUGGGAGCGUGCCAGCAGGGAGAGUGCAGUGAGCGCUUGGUAAAGAACCUGCAGUGCCAUCUACAGCGCAGACUGCAGGUUCCUCAGGCUGCGGGUGAAGUGGUUCACAGCAGGCCCCAGCACCCCGCUGCAGUUCCACCUGGCCCUGCUCCCAACCACGGCACCCCCUCCAGGCGGACCGGUCCUCUUGGAGACUGCUGACAACAAGCACACUUCUGCCUCUCCCUCAAGCCUGCUGAAACCAUCUGCUGCACGGGAAUGUCCUCCCUCCUUCUGUCUAGUCCCAGAUCACACCUUGUGCAAAGCCCACCUCCAGGGCCACCUCUCCCCUCCCUUGAAGAUCUAGCUUUUACUGUCCAUCAUUCACUUUGCAUUUUAAAAUAUACUGCUUGGUAGCAUCUCUUUCAUAUAUCAACCUAUAAUCUGAAAGGUACUUUAAAAAAAAAAAGACGAGGAAAAAGGAAAGGCCAACAUCAGUAACCUAAGACGGGCAGGAGCUAUUCUCCCCACUUCUGGCUCUCAUUUGGAGAAAGAAUAAAGAAACUCAAAAAAAAAAAAAAAAAAAAAAAAAAGAUAGUCUGAGAUGGGACUUAACAUUAGGACAGCUAAGAGGUAGACAGGUAUAUGUGAAAAGCAUUGUUGCAUGGAGACUGGACAAAGUCAAGAAAUGGCCAACAUCAAAGUUGGCAUGUGUCUCUAAUUCCCUAAACUUGCAGAGAUAAGCACAUGCUAACAAGAUCUGGAAUUUCGAAUUAACAGACAUAAACUACCAUAUAUAAAAUGGGUAAAU
This 987-nucleotide long non-coding RNA is filed under the name Capra hircus (goat). RNAcentral's name for it is "lncRNA (ENSCHIG00000001402.1)". The record is from RNAcentral. Lineage: Eukaryota; Metazoa; Chordata; Mammalia; Artiodactyla; Bovidae.